AUUGAACGCUGGCGGCAGGCCUAACACAUGCAAGUCGAGCGGAUGAAGGGAGCUUGCUCCUGGAUUCAGCGGCGGACGGGUGAGUAAUGCCUAGGAAUCUGCCUGGUAGUGGGGGAUAACGUCCGGAAACGGGCGCUAAUACCGCAUACGUCCUGAGGGAGAAAGUGGGGAUCUUCGGACCUCACGCUAUCAGAUGAGCCUAGGUCGGAUUAGCUAGUUGGUGGGGUAAGGGCCUACCAAGGCGACGAUCCGUAACUGGUCUGAGAGGAUGAUCAGUCACACUGGAACUGAGACACGGUCCAGACUCCUACGGGAGGCAGCAGUGGGGAAUAUUGGACAAUGGGCGAAAGCCUGAUCCAGCCAUGCCGCGUGUGUGAAGAAGGUCUUCGGAUUGUAAAGCACUUUAAGUUGGGAGGAAGGGCAGUAAGUUAAUACCUUGCUGUUUUGACGUUACCAACAGAAUAAGCACCGGCUAACUUCGUG
RNAcentral lists this ribosomal RNA (483 nucleotides) under uncultured bacterium. RNAcentral's name for it is "partial 16S ribosomal RNA". It matches the Rfam family "Bacterial small subunit ribosomal RNA", at positions 30 to 507 of the family's 1533-position model. The record is from RNAcentral.